GAUGAACGCUGGCGGCGUGCCUAAUACAUGCAAGUCGAGCGAACGGACGAGAAGCUUGCUUCUCUGAUGUUAGCGGCGGGCGGGUGAGUAACACGUGGAUAACCUACCUAUAAGACUGGGAUAACUUCGGGAAACCGGAGCUAAUACCGGAUAAUAUUUUGAACCGCAUGGUUCAAAAGUGAAAGACGGUCUUGCUGUCACUUAUAGAUGGGUCCGCGCUGCAUUAGCUAGUUGGUAAGGUAACGGCUUACCAAGGCAACGAUGCAUAGCCGACCUGAGAGGGUGAUCGGCCACACUGGAACUGAGACACGGUCCAGACUCCUACGGGAGGCAGCAGUAGGGAAUCUUCCGCAAUGGGCGAAAGCCUGACGGAGCAACGCCGCGUGAGUGAUGAAGGUCUUCGGAUCGUAAAACUCUGUUAUUAGGGAAGAACAUAUGUGUAAGUAACUGUGCACAUCUUGACGGUACCUAAUCAGAAAGCCACGGCUAACUACGUG
This 497-nucleotide ribosomal RNA is filed under the name uncultured bacterium. RNAcentral describes it as "partial 16S ribosomal RNA". It matches the Rfam family "Bacterial small subunit ribosomal RNA", at positions 28 to 507 of the family's 1533-position model. The record is from RNAcentral.